CGAAGUGUAACUCAGUGGCAGAGCGUUCGCUUUGCAUGCGAAAGGCCCUGGGUUCGAUCCCCAGCUCCUCGA
Non-coding RNA from Nephila pilipes (giant wood spider), 72 nucleotides. The record is from the annotation of a GenBank genome assembly. NCBI's taxonomy places the organism in Eukaryota, Metazoa, Arthropoda, Arachnida, Araneae, Nephilidae.